This 330-nucleotide ribosomal RNA is filed under the name uncultured eukaryote. RNAcentral's name for it is "partial 18S ribosomal RNA". It matches the Rfam family "Eukaryotic small subunit ribosomal RNA", at positions 1470 to 1796 of the family's 1831-position model. The record is from RNAcentral.
CCCUUAGAUGUCCGGGGCCGCACGCGCGCUACACUGAAGGAAUCAGCGUGGCUUUCUCCCUGACCCGAAAGGGUUGGGAAACCCGUUGAAUCUCCUUCGUGAUAGGGAUUGGGGCUUGAAAUUGUUCCCCAUGAACGAGGAAUUCCCAGUAAGCGCGAGUCAUAAGCUCGCGUUGAUUACGUCCCUGCCCUUUGUACACACCGCCCGUCGCACCAAUCGAUUGAGGUAUCUGGUGAAAAUGCAGGAAACCUCUGUGGCAUGCUUCAUUGCAAGCCGUAGAAGAUGAAUGCAUUUAAACCAGGCGCCUUAGAGAAUGGUGAAGUCGUAACA